This 71-nucleotide transfer RNA is filed under the name Camelus dromedarius (Arabian camel). It matches the Rfam family "tRNA". Rfam says of the family: Transfer RNA (tRNA) molecules are approximately 80 nucleotides in length. Lineage: Eukaryota; Metazoa; Chordata; Mammalia; Artiodactyla; Camelidae. The record is from Rfam by way of RNAcentral. RNAcentral also lists the same sequence under 1 other name.
GUGGGUGUAGCUUGUGGUAGAGUGCAUGCUUAGCAGGCAUGGGGUCCCAGGUUCAAUUCCCAGUACCUUCA